AAAUUGAAGAGUUUGAUCAUGGCUCAGAUUGAACGCUGGCGGCAGGCCUAACACAUGCAAGUCGAACGGUAACAGGAAGCAGCUUGCUGCUUUGCUGACGAGUGGCGGACGGGUGAGUAAUGUCUGGGAAACUGCCUGAUGGAGGGGGAUAACUACUGGAAACGGUGGCUAAUACCGCAUAACGUCGCAAGACCAAAGAGGGGGACCUUCGGGCCUCUUGCCAUCAGAUGUGCCCAGAUGGGAUUAGCUGGUUGGUGAGGUAACGGCUCACCAAGGCGACGAUCCCUAGCUGGUCUGAGAGGAUGAC
RNAcentral lists this ribosomal RNA (307 nucleotides) under Salmonella enterica. RNAcentral's name for it is "bacterial SSU rRNA". It matches the Rfam family "Bacterial small subunit ribosomal RNA", at positions 1 to 304 of the family's 1533-position model. The record is from RNAcentral. RNAcentral also lists the same sequence under 2 other names. Lineage: Bacteria; Pseudomonadati; Pseudomonadota; Gammaproteobacteria; Enterobacterales; Enterobacteriaceae.